ACUCGGCACCCGAGUCCUGCAGCGGGUCUAACAGACGCCGCCGAGUCUAAGUCCUCUUCCCCAAACUGAUCGAAGCAUCGCUCUGGCUCUUCACCCACUCCAUAGAGUACCCUUACCGCAGACGCCACCGACGCUGGGGAACGCCGCCUCGCCGCUACCUUCUGCUGGACUGCUGCACGACCUCAAGGACGACCUAGGUCAAUUAGCCACUCAAAAAGGUGUGGUAACCAGUAGAGUACUAGACGAUGGCACCUAAGGGCCGCAGGGGUAGCGUUAGCGAGUGAGGCCGUACCAAAAGCCCAAGGGCGAAUCUCUUCUCAGGUCCUGUCGAAUCUCGUGGGAUUUACCACGACGACGGCGGCGCUCUCCUUCGCGGCCGGAACGGACGCCUAAGGUUAACGCCUAGGCCCGAGGCCGGCACGUGUUGCUCAUCCACCCACGUCGGGUCCGGCCAGACCUCCGCUCAAGGCGGCCUCCUUCUUACGAAGGGGCUGAUCCAGGUGUCAGGUGUGUUAGGUGAACCUUCCACUUAGGCAUUCACGGGCUGCUUCUCCAUUACGCUCGGCUAAAAAAAAAACUAAAACUAAAGUCAACACACACGGGUUGACGGGUAGGAAAACGAUACGAGGAUUUUAGAAGUCAAAGUCAAACCUAUUAACUAAAAUUAUAACUAGGGUGGACAACCCGAGCACACGACAGACAAAUCCCUUGUCCUACCACAUAAUCAUCCAUGAAAUAAUCUAAAACCUCCUGACACUUUUCAACUUUCAUAGAAGACCUGUUAACUCCGACGCAAACCCAUCACGUGGUAGACUGGUCUACGGCGCACGGAGUGUAUACUCACACGAACUUGUUAGAUAGGCGUUUAAACGUUUUCUUGGAUGAUUCUCACACCACUUUCGUCUCGAACUAAAGUUAAAAAAUGAGCAACCCACUCUGCAUACUGUAAAUGUUGAACAUGAGAACCUUCCACUGAAACCGUAUGGCAUACCCUUCUCGACUGACUUGCGGCUCGCCUGGUUCGACUGCGUCCUCUAGCACACGCCGACAAACCGCUCGAAAUGAAAAUAAGACUUAAAAGUAAUACUACCGUCACCAAAUCACGGUACACCCUCUUUGUACAAUGUAAUAGACCUACAACAACAACGUCCCCUUCGGUCUCCGCCUCUUGUCGGCCAAUCGUGGACUUCCUACUCGAUCCCGGAUCCCCACACUCUAAUGUCACUGACUGUCCUCCCCGUAGGUAGCUUACAACCCACACUUUCUUUACUUCUACAUGGCACCAACCGAUCGUUCUACCACUCCUUAAAAAAUAGGCGAAAAACACCUUCUUGAAACGUUUGGUCUAUUACUUCAACUGAUCCUAAAGUAGGCAUUCUACUACCUGUGGUUCGAUUACCCAAUGUUCUAACUCACCGAUUUCUUCAAAUACAAGGACCAUGUGAAGUACUUCGUUUUUCUCGUUUAAAAACCCUUACAUCAACCUGAUUACCAGACAACCGUACCUCCUCUCACCACAAACGUAACAUGUGAUGUAAACGCUAUAGUUACCCGAAAUGGACUGCAGAGCUGAGUCAUCCUAUAACAAACUAGUGGACACCUCUUCAGAGCGUAUACUCUAGCACUGACACUCCCCCCUGAUCCGACUGUACGGUUGAAAGGACAUGAAGUUUUAGUACCUGACCACUUACUUCGCACCAAGUCUUAUCAACGUCCCGCCUGGAUAGAAAACUGAGACACCACGCACACAACAACAUCAAACAGUGAAAACCAAACGGUGGAGGCUUAGUCCUGUUGUUUAAACUUAAACAUAACAGCCUGGAUUUCAUGACCAGCUUACAACUUCAACGUCGUAAAGGUACUUU
Molecule: ribosomal RNA, 1865 nt
Filed under: Triticum aestivum (bread wheat)
Lineage: Eukaryota; Viridiplantae; Streptophyta; Magnoliopsida; Poales; Poaceae
Description: partial small subunit ribosomal RNA
Source: RNAcentral